Molecule: long non-coding RNA, 896 nt
Organism: Glycine soja
Lineage: Eukaryota; Viridiplantae; Streptophyta; Magnoliopsida; Fabales; Fabaceae
Exons: 2
Source: RefSeq, a predicted model, not a curated record
CUUGCUAUAACCAUAAUGAAUAGUUUUGGGCAUGUGUAACUCAUUUCCCACAUUCCCAAAGAGAUUUUUCAAGUUUAACUUCCUAGCUAUGUUUGUAUAUAACACCCUUCAAAUCUGUGUCUCUUCCCGUAAUCAACUCCCUGUGUUUUUUAACUGAGUUCUCCAAUAUUUUCAAAUUAAUUUGCAGGAUUUGAAAAUUGCCAUAUCUUUGUUACCCAUUACAAAAUAGUUCCAUUUUUCAUUUUUCAAAUUAAUGCAUGAAGAGAAACUGCUAUCUGGAUCUUCGUCUUCAGUCUUCGUCACCUUCCCAUCGUUCAAUGCAAGCAAUCUGGACUCUUUCUUUUCAAUAUUUGCCUUAUGACUCCCUUCAUUUGUAUAUCUCAGGAAUUAAGCAAGUGGAAUUCUUCUUACGUUAUUUGCUAAUUCUCCCUCCUUUUCUGCAAGAUUUUUUGCAGGAAUGGAACGUUGAACAUACACAAUAACCUUGUAGCUAUUCUUCAUAAUGGACGCCAAUGCAUUUUUGACACAACAGAACUUCAGGCAAGAAUGAUAAUAUGGUUAGCAAGUAAAGAAAUGGAGGAAAACACUACAGGCUUGCAUUCUGAAGCCCUAUUGAUACAUGUCUCGCGAGGCCUUUCCAUAAAGAAAUCACUUGAGAAUUUCCUCCAGAGGAGAAGAAAGAAAAGGUCUCUUGUAACCCAAAAUGACAUGACAAAAAUAUGAAUUAAUUAAAUCCUCGUUCCCUUCUGGGGGCAGGAAAAGUCUAGAUCUGCUGGUCAGAGUGGUCUGCUACAUUUCUUGAAUGAAGAAGGGCUGAUCGCCAACCCACCAUCACCACAGCUUUGUUAAUUGUUACUGAAACAUAUAUAAUAAUUCACAUUUGAGUGCUUUGUUAA